ACUGGGGCGGUCUCCUCCUAAAGAGUAACGGAGGAGCACGAAGGUUGGCUAAUCCUGGUCGGACAUCAGGAGGUUAGUGCAAUGGCAUAAGCCAGCUUGACUGCGAGCGUGACGGCGCGAGCAGGUGCGAAAGCAGGUCAUAGUGAUCCGGUGGUUCUGAAUGGAAGGGCCAUCGCUCAACGGAUAAAAGGUACUCCGGGGAUAACAGGCUGAUACCGCCCAAGAGUUCAUAUCGACGGCGGUGUUUGGCACCUCGAUGUCGGCUCAUCACAUCCUGGGGCUGAAGUAGGUCCCAAGGGUAUGGCUGUUCGCCAUUUAAAGUGGUACGCGAGCUGGGUUUAGAACGUCGUGAGACAGUUCGGUCCCUAUCUGCCGUGGGCGCUGGAGAAUUGAGGGGGGCUGCUCCUAGUACGAGAGGACCGGAGUGGACGCAUCACUGGUGUUCGGGUUGUCAUGCCAAUGGCACUGCCCGGUAGCUAAAUGCGGAAGAGAUAAGUGCUGAAAGCAUCUAAGCACGAAACUUGCCCCGAGAUGAGUUCUCCCUGACUCCUUGAGAGUCCUGAAGGAACGUUGAAGACGACGACGUUGAUAGGCCGGGUGUGUAAGCGCAGCGAUGCGUUGAGCUAACCGGUACUAAUGAACCGUGAGGCUUAACCUU
RNAcentral lists this ribosomal RNA (658 nucleotides) under Escherichia coli. RNAcentral describes it as "partial 23S ribosomal RNA". It matches the Rfam family "Bacterial large subunit ribosomal RNA", at positions 2273 to 2925 of the family's 2925-position model. The record is from RNAcentral. Lineage: Bacteria; Pseudomonadati; Pseudomonadota; Gammaproteobacteria; Enterobacterales; Enterobacteriaceae.